Molecule: long non-coding RNA, 2064 nt
Filed under: Salvia miltiorrhiza (redroot sage)
Lineage: Eukaryota; Viridiplantae; Streptophyta; Magnoliopsida; Lamiales; Lamiaceae
Description: long non-coding RNA (SMIL_LNC000899)
Source: RNAcentral
UGCUCUUCACACUUUUAUUUUCUUCUUCAUACGGUCUCUCUCUCCUUUCGCUCCCUCUCUCCGUCUCUCACACUCUCUCGCAGCCAGUGGACGUCGCCGGCUCUCGCCGCCUCUGGCGCGGCGAAGCCGGCACCCCUUCUCCCCCCUCCUUCCUUUCGUUCCCUACCUCUUUUCCUGAAUCUAAAAUCCCCAAAUUAAAAUAGAUCUAGGGAUUCCUAUUGUUAAUUCAUGUUCUCCGAUGAGUUCCGCCACUGCCGCCGCCAUCUCCAUCACACCACCGCUACCUCCGUCUCAGGUAAACCCCCUAUCUCUUUCUUUCUCUCUCUAUCUCACUUUCCUUCUCUUCUCUCUCUCUCAAUUUCUCUCUGCUCUCCCUUUCGAUCUCCCCCUCUGCCCUUCCUCUUGCUUGCGGCGACCGCAGCGCGCAUGCAGCGCCGGCGGUCGCCGCCGCCCCGCUCUCCUCUCACUCCCUCUAUGUCGCUCUGCUGUCUCUCCUGUCCAUCUCUCUCUCCUUGUGUCUCAGUCUCUUUCCCUCUCCCUCGCUCAAACUCUCUCUCUCUCUCUCUGCUACUGGCGGCCACCGCGGACCGCCGUGGCGUGGGCAGCGCUGGCGGUCGCUGCCGCCAGUCGCGCCUCCGCCGCGGUGGUUCGCGGUUGCUGUUGCUGCUGCCAUCCCUUCCCCUGUUCUAAUUCUUUUCCUUCUUCUUUUCUCUUUUUCCUUAUUUCUAUUGUAAUACCUUAACUUAACUCUCGUGUUUGAUAGCUUGUAAUAUGGCAUUAUUUCUAUUGUAAUACCUUAACUUAACUCUCGUGUUUGAUAGCUUGUAAUAUGGCAAGAUAGCAAAGGUAUAUAAUCCGUGUGUUUGGUACUCUUAAUACGUAUGCCACGAAGCCCGCGAAAAGGUGAGGCCCGGUCAUAUUUCACUGUUCCUUCGGUAAUACCCAUCCGCUCCCCCCCCUCCGAUACCUUUGCUACUUUAAUUUGAUAUUGAAAAUUGCCUUAAAUGCCCAUCGAUUUUUCAUUGAAAAUUCACCCAAGAAAGUUGAUUUUUCAUUCUUUCCAAGAAACAAAGAAGGGAUCGACUGGAACAGAAAAACGAUCCAACAUUCUUCCCAAAAUUCACCCAAGGAAAUUGAUUUUUCAUUCAACAUUCGUCGACCAUUCCAGCCUUCGACGACUAGCUACUGCCGCCCAGCCAUCGACGACCAGCUACCGCCGUCGCCGCAAUAAACCUCCAUCCCCCAACAAGAAAAACGCCACGGCCCACGAAGAAAUCGAGAGCCUCCAUUGACGACUAAAAAUUAAUUCUUGGGCGGUGGGUGGAAGGAAGGGAGGACGGCGACAAGGGAGGGGGAAGGGGAGGAUGGUGGCGGGGGAGGAUUCUGAUGGUUAUGAAUGAAACGCAAGGGGGGAAGAUUUCAUGUUGAGGAAGAAAGGGGAAGGGGGCUUUUGGGGAUGGGGUUGGGGGGAAACGUGUGACUUUUUGGAGAGAGAGGAGAAGACGUGUUUGAUAAAUUUGUCCUUAGAAAAAAGAAAUAGGGAUAAAUUUGUAAUUAAUUGUGUAAUCUGCCUGUUAGUACUAUGUAUCAUUGGACUGCAUAAUAUGCCCACCGUAUCAAACACCGAUCAAGUUUAAUUAAUAUGGACUUAUCUAUAAAAGGUAUCCUAUCAUAAUCUAUCUAGCAUUAUCCAUACCAAAAUAUCAAACACGCUAUGUUCUAUUUCAGGAGUUGAUCGGCGUCGUCGACUCCGGCAUGGCAGCUUCGUCUACUGCCUAAGAUUCUACAUUUUCUUCCUUUGUUUUUAUUAUUGAUUCGUUGUGAAACUGAAGUAUAAGGAUGAUGGGGAAAUUGGAAAUUAGAAUUAGAAAUGUGUUUGUAGCUAUGCUUGUAUCUAUUUAGUGUAUCUAUUCUGUUCUUGUUUACUGUUACAUAUAUGAUGAAUGAACUGUAAUAAAGAGAUACUACCUGCUUGGUGAUUGAAUUACUGUAACAGAAUUUUGGGGAUGAUUAAUAAUGGAUGAAUAUCUGGAUAGACAAUUUGCUGGUAUCGCCGAAUGAGGG